CAGUCGCCACGGUAAUACGUAGGGUGCAAGCGUUAAUCGGAAUUACUGGGCGUAAAGCGUGCGCAGGCGGUUUGUUAAGACAGAUGUGAAAUCCCCGGGCUUAACCUGGGAACUGCAUUUGUGACUGGCAAGCUAGAGUCUGGCAGAGGGGGGUGGAAUUCCGCGUGUAGCAGUGAAAUGCGUAGAUAUGCGGAGGAACACCGAUGGCGAAGGCAGCCCCCUGGGCCGACACUGACGCUCAUGCACGAAAGCGUGGGGAGCAAACAGGAUUAGAUACCCCAGUAGUCCCUGUCUCUUAUAA
Molecule: ribosomal RNA, 301 nt
Filed under: uncultured bacterium
Lineage: Bacteria
Description: partial 16S ribosomal RNA
Rfam family: Bacterial small subunit ribosomal RNA
Source: RNAcentral